UCGAGAGGGAAGGCAGAGAGACAGGAGUGAAGGGAGGGGGGAGGAGAAUGGAGAUGGGUCACAAUGUGGAUCACUUAUAAAAAAAUAAGUUGAAGACUGGCCAAAAAAAACAAUGUGGUGUUUUUUUAUUUUAAAAUCUUUAGAUGAUGUUCUACGGAAUGAAGUGAUAACAAAAGGUUAGAUGAUGUUCUACGGAAUGAAGUGAUAACAAAAGGUUAGAUGAUGUUCUACGGAAUGAAGUGAUAACAAAAGGUUAGAUGAUGUUCUACGGAAUGAAGUGAUAACAAAAGGUUAGAUGAUGUUCUACGGAAUGAAGUGAUAACAAAAGGUUAGAUGAUGUUCUACGGAAUGAAGUGAUAACAAAAGGUUAGAUGAUGUUCUACGGAAUGAAGUGAUAACAAAAGGUUAGAUGAUGUUCUACGGAAUGAAGUGAUAACAAAAGGUUAGAUGAUGUUCUACGGAAUGAAGUGAUAACAAAAGGUUAGAUGAUGUUCUACGGAAUGAAGUGAUAACAAA
Long non-coding RNA from Oncorhynchus keta (chum salmon), 516 nucleotides. RefSeq lists it as uncharacterized. The record is from RefSeq and is a predicted model, not a curated record. Lineage: Eukaryota; Metazoa; Chordata; Actinopteri; Salmoniformes; Salmonidae. The transcript is spliced from 3 exons.